GAGCUCACUUCGGCAGCACAUAUACUAAAAUUGGAAUGAUAGAGAGAAGAUUAUUAUGACCGCUGUGCGAGCAUGACGCACAAAUUUGUGAAGCAUUCCAUAUUUUA
Molecule: small nuclear RNA, 107 nt
Filed under: Salvator merianae (Argentine black and white tegu)
Lineage: Eukaryota; Metazoa; Chordata; Lepidosauria; Squamata; Teiidae
Source: RNAcentral